Molecule: unclassified non-coding RNA, 404 nt
Filed under: soil metagenome
Description: partial contains 5.8S ribosomal RNA, internal transcribed spacer 2, and large subunit ribosomal RNA
Rfam family: 5.8S ribosomal RNA (bases 1-122)
Source: RNAcentral
GAUGAAGAACGUAGUAAAAUGCGAUACUUGGUGUGAAUUGCAGAAUCCCGUGAACCAUCGAGUUUUUGAACGCAAGUUGCGCCCGAAGCCUUUUGGCCGAGGGCACGUCUGCCUGGGCGUCACACAUCGCGUCGCCCCCCACAAUUCUCCGUAAAAGGAACAUGUGUUUUGGGGGCGGAUAUUGGUCUCCCGUGCUCAUGGCGUGGUUGGCCGAAAUAGGAGUCCUUUCGAUGGACGCACGAACUAGUGGUGGUCGUAAAAACCCUCGUCUUUUGUUUCGUGCUGUUGCUCGCAAGGUAAACUCUUUAAAAACCCCAAUGUGUCGUCUCUUGACGACGCUUCGACCGCGACCCCAGGUCAGGCGGGACUACCCGCUGAGUUUAAGCAUAUCAAUAAGCGGAGGA